This 374-nucleotide RNase P RNA is filed under the name Akkermansia sp. RNAcentral's name for it is "RNase P RNA component class A". It matches the Rfam family "Bacterial RNase P class A". Rfam says of the family: Ribonuclease P (RNase P) is a ubiquitous endoribonuclease, found in archaea, bacteria and eukarya as well as chloroplasts and mitochondria. Lineage: Bacteria; Pseudomonadati; Verrucomicrobiota; Verrucomicrobiia; Verrucomicrobiales; Akkermansiaceae. The record is from RNAcentral.
GUUCGGGUUCGGGUGGUCGCUGUGCAGCCCUGCUGCAUAGAGGAAAGUCCGGACAUCACAAGGCAGCGCGUCCUCUGAAAGGAGGAGACGCCCGGAGCCAAUGCCGGGCGGACGGAAAGUGCCACAGAAAACAAACCGCCCGCAAGGGUAAGGGUGAAAAGGUGGGGUAAGAGCCCACCGCUCCGAAGGUAACGACGGAGGCACGGAAAACCCCACGCGAUGCAAGACAAACAGGGGAAGGGCCGCCUGCCCGCUGUAUCCCCGGGUAAUAGUUGCACCCUGCUAUAAACGCAGGGUACGGGUUCGCCCGUAAGAAAAAUGACCACACAGCCCGCAAGGGUGGACAGAAUCUGGCUUACAGAACCCGAACGGCG